This 468-nucleotide ribosomal RNA is filed under the name uncultured bacterium. RNAcentral describes it as "partial 16S ribosomal RNA". It matches the Rfam family "Bacterial small subunit ribosomal RNA", at positions 28 to 507 of the family's 1533-position model. The record is from RNAcentral.
GACGAACGCUGGCGGCGUGCUUAACACAUGCAAGUCGAACGGAAAGGCCCUGCUUUUGUGGGGUGCUCGAGUGGCGAACGGUUGAGUAUCACGUGAGUAACCUGCCCUUGACUUUGGGAUAACUUCAGGAAACUGGGGCUAAUACCGGAUAGGAGCUCCUGCUGCAUGGUGUGGGGUGGAAAGUUUCGGCGGUUGGGGAUGGACUCGCGGCUUAUCAGCUUGUUGGUGGGGUAGUGGCUUACCAAGGCUUUGACGGGUAGCCGGCCUGAGAGGGUGACCGGCCACAUUGGAACUGAGAUACGGCCCAGACUCCUACGGGAGGCAGCAGUGGAGAAUAUUGCGCAAUGGGCGGAAGCCUGAUGCAGCAACGCCGCGUGCGGGAUGACGGCCUUCGGGUUGUAACCCGAUUUCGCCUGUGACGAAGCGUGAGUGACGGUAAUGGGUAAAGAAGCACCGGCUAACUACGUG